AACGAACGCUGGCGGCAGGCUUAACACAUGCAAGUCGAACGGGUGUAGCAAUACAUCAGUGGCAGACGGGUGAGUAACACGUGGGAACCUUCCUAGGGGUACGGAACAACUCAGGGAAACUUGAGCUAAUACCGUAUACGUCCGUGAGGAGAAAGAUUUAUCGCCCUUAGACGGGCCCGCGUCGGAUUAGCUAGUUGGUGGGGUAACGGCCUACCAAGGCGACGAUCCGUAGCUGAUCUUAGAGGAUGAUCAGCCACACUGGGACUGAGACACGGCCCAGACUCCUACGGGAGGCAGCAGUGGGGAAUCUUGGACAAUGGGCGCAAGCCUGAUCCAGCCAUGCCGCGUGAGUGAAGAAGGUCUUCGGAUUGUAAAGCUCUUUUGCCAGGGACGAUAAUGACGGUACCUGGAGAAUAAGCCCCGGCAAACUUCGUGCCAGCAGCCGCCGUAA
RNAcentral lists this ribosomal RNA (451 nucleotides) under uncultured bacterium. Its description in RNAcentral is "partial 16S ribosomal RNA". It matches the Rfam family "Bacterial small subunit ribosomal RNA", at positions 29 to 523 of the family's 1533-position model. The record is from RNAcentral.